Molecule: ribosomal RNA, 253 nt
Filed under: uncultured bacterium
Lineage: Bacteria
Description: partial 16S ribosomal RNA
Rfam family: Bacterial small subunit ribosomal RNA
Source: RNAcentral
UACGGAGGAUCCGAGCGUUAUCCGGAUUUAUUGGGUUUAAAGGGUGCGUAGGCGGACCCUUAAGUCAGUGGUGAAAGUUUGCAGCUCAACUGUAAAAUUGCCAUUGAAACUGAGGGUCUUGAGUGUAAAUGAGGUAGGCGGAAUGUGUUGUGUAGCGGUGAAAUGCUUAGAUAUAACACAGAACACCGAUUGCGAAGGCAGCUUACUAAACUGUUACUGACGCUGAUGCACGAAAGCGUGGGGAGCGAACAGG